Molecule: ribosomal RNA, 530 nt
Filed under: Candida tropicalis
Lineage: Eukaryota; Fungi; Ascomycota; Pichiomycetes; Serinales; Debaryomycetaceae
Description: LSU rRNA
Rfam family: Eukaryotic large subunit ribosomal RNA
Source: RNAcentral
UGCCUUGUAGCGGCGAGUGAAGCGGCAAAAGCUCAAAUUUGAAAUCUGGCUCUUUCAGAGUCCGAGUUGUAAUUUGAAGAAGGUAUCUUUGGGUCUGGCUCUUGUCUAUGUUUCUUGGAACAGAACGUCACAGAGGGUGAGAAUCCCGUGCGAUGAGAUGAUCCAGGCCUAUGUAAAGUUCCUUCGAAGAGUCGAGUUGUUUGGGAAUGCAGCUCUAAGUGGGUGGUAAAUUCCAUCUAAAGCUAAAUAUUGGCGAGAGACCGAUAGCGAACAAGUACAGUGAUGGAAAGAUGAAAAGAACUUUGAAAAGAGAGUGAAAAAGUACGUGAAAUUGUUGAAAGGGAAGGGCUUGAGAUCAGACUUGGUAUUUUGUAUGUUACUUCUUCGGGGGUGGCCUCUACAGUUUAUCGGGCCAGCAUCAGUUUGGGCGGUAGGAGAAUUGCGUUGGAAUGUGGCACGGCUUCGGUUGUGUGUUAUAGCCUUCGUCGAUACUGCCAGCCUAGACUGAGGACUGCGGUUUAUACCUAGGA